Molecule: ribosomal RNA, 200 nt
Filed under: uncultured eukaryote
Lineage: Eukaryota
Description: partial 18S ribosomal RNA
Rfam family: Eukaryotic small subunit ribosomal RNA
Source: RNAcentral
AGCUCCAAUAGCGUAUAUUAAAGUUGUUGCAGUUAAAAAGCUCGUAGUUGGACUUCAAGAACAGCAAUUAGGACACUAAUUGCGUUCUACCAGUCUCUGACUGUUACUGUGAGAAAAUUAGAGUGUUUCAAGCAGGCUUUUGCAGGAAUACAUUAGCAUGGAAUAACGAAUGUGUCUACAAUUUGGUUGAUUGUAGGUUA